Molecule: unclassified non-coding RNA, 627 nt
Filed under: Hevea brasiliensis (rubber tree)
Lineage: Eukaryota; Viridiplantae; Streptophyta; Magnoliopsida; Malpighiales; Euphorbiaceae
Source: RNAcentral
CUUGGAACCAAAUGAAUUCCAGCACAAAUGUCAAUGCUGCAUUGAACCCUUUAUUUUAUCAGCUUCAAAAAAAAGUUUUACAUGAUUACAUCCGAUGCUCAAUAUCUUAUCAAAUAUUGAGACUAAUUAAGUUUGAAUCUCAAAUAAUCCUAUCUGUAUUCAUUCGCAGCAAAUUAAAACUGCAAGAACAAGGAAACAAUAAUGUCCUCCUCAAAAGCAAAAAUCAAGUAUCAAAUUAUUUCAUUUACCACUAGGAGCCCUUCUCUGAAUCCUUGGAAUCUACUGCCUGCUCCACUGCCUUCUCAGCUACAUUCGACUCAGAUUUGUUUGAUGCCUUUUCUUCGUCUGAUUUCUUCCUGGCUGCCUCCUCUUCAGCCUUUUCUGCCCGCAAAAUUGGCUCGUAAUAAUCAGCAUGCGCCUCCAUACACUUCUUCAAAGCCCCAGUCACCUCAUAGCACUUUUCCACUAUGUCCUCAUUUUUCUUCUCUGCCUCUUCAAUGCAAUUCUCCCAUGCUAUAAAGGCAUCUUUGCACCCACCCCCCUUCAUGAACAAACAAAAUCCACAUUCUCCCACCUCUUCCCCCUCUCCCUCCCUCUCUUUACCCUGAUCUUCAUCCCCAUUUUCUA